ACCUGGCUCAGGACGAACGCUGGCGGCGUGCCUAAUACAUGCAAGUCGAACGCUUCUUUUCCCACCGGAGCUUGCUCCACCGGGAAAAGAGGAGUGGCGAACGGGUGAGUAACACGUGGGUAACCUGCCCAUCAGAAGGGGAUAACACUUGGAAACAGGUGCUAAUACCGUAUAACAAUCGAAACCGCAUGGUUUCGUUUUGAAAGGCGCUUUACGGUGCCGCUGAUGGAUGGACCCGCGGUGCAUUAGCUAGUUGGUGAGGUAACGGCUCACCAAGGCCACGAUGCAUAGCCGACCUGAGAGGGUGAUCGGCCACAUUGGGACUGAGACACGGCCCAAACUCCUACGGGAGGCAGCAGUAGGGAAUCUUCGGCAAUGGACGAAAGUCUGACCGAGCAACGCCGCGUGAGUGAAGAAGGUUUUCGGAUCGUAAAACUCUGUUGUUAGAGAAGAACAAGGGUGAGAGUAACUGUCACCCCUGACGGUUCUA
This 490-nucleotide ribosomal RNA is filed under the name Enterococcus mundtii. RNAcentral's name for it is "bacterial SSU rRNA". It matches the Rfam family "Bacterial small subunit ribosomal RNA", at positions 17 to 481 of the family's 1533-position model. Lineage: Bacteria; Bacillati; Bacillota; Bacilli; Lactobacillales; Enterococcaceae. The record is from RNAcentral.